ACGCUCGUUAUUAUAUAGACAAGACACGACACGGCAGGACAGGACGAGACUGGGUCCGUCCGUCUGGCAGGCGGGCAGGCAGGCAGGCAGGCAGGAUGUCAACGCAAAUUCAAGUGAAAUGAUGCACAAGGAAAUAAUAGAGAAAAGAAAAGGAUUGCUACCGGAUGAAUGCACUUCAUUUGAAGUAGAAGUGGAAGGAAUGCAGUCCUAGUCCUCAUUGUUAGACAGGACUGGAGCUGGAGCCGGAGCGCACACCGAAGGCAGCGCCCAAGUCAAGCCCAAAGGAUUACAGACUUUGAGGGGUAAGCAGAGCCGUCACUCCUUUACUCCUUCUCUCCCAAGGGAUUGAGGUUUCGCGGGAAAAGGCUGAGGGAAGGACAGCCAUAAAGCAGAGACCGGUGGGCAUUAGAAGCGGGACAAUCGAUGUGAAGGCAGUGGAAGCUGCCAGAGAGAAGUCUUUUCAUAAUACACUUGAAGAAAUGGUUAGCCCCAACUUUAAUCCAUGUAUAAAACCCUUUAAAAUAAAUGUUAUGCAUUAAUGUGCGUGUGAGCAAGUCGCACAAUCAAACCACCAA
Long non-coding RNA from Drosophila pseudoobscura, 575 nucleotides. RefSeq lists it as uncharacterized. The transcript is spliced from 2 exons. The record is from RefSeq and is a predicted model, not a curated record. Lineage: Eukaryota; Metazoa; Arthropoda; Insecta; Diptera; Drosophilidae.